RNAcentral lists this ribosomal RNA (172 nucleotides) under Ginoria jimenezii. RNAcentral's name for it is "5.8S ribosomal RNA". It matches the Rfam family "5.8S ribosomal RNA". From Rfam's summary of the family: 5.8S ribosomal RNA (5.8S rRNA) is a component of the large subunit of the eukaryotic ribosome. It is transcribed by RNA polymerase I as part of the 45S precursor that also contains 18S and 28S rRNA. Lineage: Eukaryota; Viridiplantae; Streptophyta; Magnoliopsida; Myrtales; Lythraceae. The record is from RNAcentral.
GAGUAACAACAACGACUCUCGGCAACGGAUAUCUCGGCUCUCGCAUCGAUGAAGAACGUAGCGAAAUGCGAUACUUGGUGUGAAUUGCAGAAUCCCGUGAACCAUCGAGUCUUUGAACGCAAGUUGCGCCCGAAGCCAUUCGGCCGAGGGCACGUCUGCCUGGGUGUCACGC